This is a long non-coding RNA of Panthera uncia (snow leopard), 9281 nucleotides long. RefSeq lists it as uncharacterized. The record is from RefSeq and is a predicted model, not a curated record. NCBI's taxonomy places the organism in Eukaryota, Metazoa, Chordata, Mammalia, Carnivora, Felidae. The transcript is spliced from 3 exons.
GGCUGUUAUUCAUUUUAUCGACACACAGUAUUUUAAGUGAGCCUCCCAGGUCGUGGGAUUGGGAAGCGGCCCUCCUGAUUGUCCCGAAUGAAACCUUGAACUGAAAAUAGGGAGCGUGGGAGUUUGGGCUUUUCCAGUAGUUUCUGAGCUCUGGACUCCGGGAUGGGGAAUGAGUUCCCGGCUCGCCUCCGCCCCCUGCCUCCAGUGGGCCCAGAAGACCGCUUCCCCUUUCUGCUCCUCAAAUAAGCCUCGGCCUGGCCUCCCUGCUCGGCUUUACCCUCGCGGCCAGCGGGCCGGUGAAUGAGUGCCAGUCUCCUGCUUGGACACAGUGAAUGUCCUUAAGCCUCAACAAAAUGACUAACGCGUCUUUAAAGUUUCUCUUAGAAGGGUCACCACAUUCUGAGGAAGUUCAAAGAAUAUAAAAUCGAACGUUCGGGGAGGAAAUCGGCUACAUUUUGCUCUGGUGUUUUCAGGCUGGCGAUGGGCAUUUAGUGCAUUAAUUACGCAAGACCCGCUACAUUUUAAAAGUAAUUUGAAGAUUUGGGGAAGAGAUCCAAAGUGUUGCGAGACCGACGGCCUUUCAUGUUGAAUCAAGAUGCCUUCCACUCACAGAAGUGCUUCUGACCUAAGUGGAAAUUGAAUUCAGGCCCAGCAGCAGGUAAGAGUGCCUGGUCCGGGGCGUGGGGAGUCUUAGGGGGUUCUUUCUCCAGGGGUUUUGAAAGCAAAGUUGCCCUUCGGAGAGCACGACGCGGUGAACGCUGAUGUGACAGACCGAGCCCGGGAGGCCACAUCACAAACACACGCCGGCCAGAAAUCCUUAUUAAUGUCACUGAGAUCACUUCAAAUUUAUGGUAUCGACAGCGAUGCGAAUAAUGAUCGCACAAGGGCCGUAAUGACAGGACCCGGCAAAGAGGGUCUGUUUUCUUCAUCUGGAUUUUUAUUUUCUGUAAUACGUGAGAAAACCGAAUCGAGGGAUGGGCUUUCGUGGUUGCCAGGAAACAGGUGUUUACGUUGUGAAGAUAAGUGUUUGUCAAAUAUCAGUCAUUUCAACCACCCUUUGGGCAUCUUCUGCUCCGCAGAGGUGCCCGCUGAUAAUGGCCGGCACUGGUAUUAUGAUCUGCCAGCAACAUCACCCAGAGAAGUUUCUGGCGAGGGUUCCUUUCUGUCGCAUAUAGAUGUCCAGGCCUCUGUCAACUCUGCACCAGCCAAAGCCCUGAAACGAUUUGGGGGAAGUCAAUAUUCCAAGAAAGGCUUUUCCUCAGAAGAAAACCCGGUUUCACACCUGGGUUGAGGAUCUCUGUCAGGACGAGCCCUCUCGGUCUUUCCACCGAGAGGGAGCCACUUGCCAGAAAAAGCGAAUUAACUGCGUUAAGCUUCGAAGAGGAAAAUUAAGCUGGCUUUAGCAUUUUUUCAACCUGUUUUCUGUUACCUGGUAACACCUUUUAAGGGAAGUUAAAAACACUGUAGUUCUUCAAAACCUAAGUGGAAAAUUGGGGUAGAAACUAUCUUCAGCCAUGGAACAACUGCUGUCUCAGAAAGUCUCUAACGCCCAUAAUUCUAUUGAAUAAAUGCCAAGAAACACCCAGCAAUUGUCAAGAUUAACUGGUAAAUCAAUCCUGUUUUGAAAAAUCACUGAAACGCCUGAUGCCAGGCAUCUGACCCUCUCCUACCCAACGUGUUGCUGAUGUGGGGUUGUCCACACGGCCUUGGGGUCCCCAAACCUUAAGUCAAAUAGGACUACAAGCUGAUUAGCGCCCAGCAGGAUGCACACCAGUGACAGGAAAGUGACAAUCUGCACAGAAUUCACUUACGCUUCGCGAGAACAGAGACUGAGAGGCGUGCCCUGACCACUGGGCAGGAAAGACAGGGAUCAUGUCCCCACUAGCCUCAGAUGUCAACUACGAUCAGCUUCUAGUUUCUAAAGUAACAAAAUAAAUGAUUAAUUAACACUUAGACGUCACCAUGUACUUUUUGCAUUUAGAAGUCUGCGUAGCUGGCCGAUCCGAAACACCGUUAAGGACAUCUUUCAAUGGCAAUGUCCAGGUACCGCCUUCUCAAAUAUUUAUCGUCUUCCAAGCUUUUCAUGUCCCUUAGAGACUGGUCAGCGGUCCUUUAACCAGCAUCAAAUACAUCAUGAGAAAAGAAACAAAAACAAAAGACACAAAUGAGACCGAGAAAAGCAGAACUUAGAAGCUGUCUGUCUGUCUGAUUCUCGGACGGUUGCCUAGGCAGUUUUAUUAUUUUAGAAACCAUACGAAAGAACUGUGUAUUAGUUAACUUAUUCAUUCUGGAGAGAAACGGCCCCAGCCAGUGGCUGUCUCACGGCGUCAGGGAAGGCCGGGUCAUCAUUCCCCCGCACAGGACGGCGGGGAGCAGGCUGUCCGCGCAGAGCCAGGGGCUUCUCCUGGGGUCCUCACUGGUGGGUUCUCGGUGCCUCUCUCGGCUGCUUUAUUCACCAAGAAGAGCGCGAUGUGGGGUCGAGGCAGUGACGUUGUCCCAGUAGGAGCACGAAACCUUCCACAUUUCCACCGCCCAGAGCUCCGCGUGGGCUGGCUCCGAGCCGAAAGCCGAGUGGCCCCGCAGGGUGACGUGUCUGCGGAGGGACAGCGCGCCUGCCCCCGGAGUGCGUGCGUGCACCUGCAGCCUCACUGCGGGCAGCGACGGGGAGCCCUGCCCCGCCCGGCACCCUGGCACCAGGAUCGUGUGUUCGGCUGGAGUCCUAACCUUACCUAGCCGGACUUUCCCCGGGCCCGGCUGCCCGCUGCAUCACCAUAGCAAUGGACAAACACGGUGAGAGUCGCAGGGCCCCGAAGCUGCGGAAACCCUGCCCUCCUGGCCGCCCCGCGGGAGGGGCCGGGCUAAUUUCCAUGCGGCGUUUGGGGAUGUUGGGAUUCAGAGAUCAAAGAAGGUCAAAAGGGGGCCGUUGGAAUGGCAGAUAUUUAUUGUGUUUAAUAUAAAUACAAACGUGUCCAAGAAGAGAGACCGAAACCUUAACAGGCCUGUGGAUGGCGUUUGGUAAAUAGAAAAGAACACAUCUUGAAAGCAGGCGGCUGGUGAAAUUGACUGGCACUGCAGAAGCUGUCGUGAUUUAAACUGGGACAAAUUAAGACAGCAACAAUCUUCACCGACAUCGAACAUACAAAUUAGUUGAAAACCUUGAGGAAGACGUCUAGCUGCACUUUAGAAACGCUUUGGGAAACCUUCUGGCCACAAAUGCAAACACAGCCCAGCGCACUUUAGAAAUUUCUGGUCACCCUCCUUAGCUGCGCUCGUAUUAUUAAGAGUGUUUGUUUCAUACCAUUAACUGUGCAGUCAAGUUGGAGCCCGUUAAACAGCAUUAAUUUGACAAAUUGUGGGAUGGGGGUGUGAGUGCCGGCUGGAGAAAGGGGCUUUGUGUUUCGGGGUCUCCAUUAGUGAAACAAUAAAUAAGGCUAUGGUAAAACUGAUAUGAUGGGAAAUGACUUCUAUUCAGUUAACUCAAUUAUUAGUGCUAAUUGGGGCCAGGUGAAGCAUGGAUAAUUGAAAUUCACAGAUAAUCCAAAAACCUCUAUUUAACCAAUAACUUCAAACUUCUUCCCCAUCAAACCAAUUACCAGAGGAGCUAACAAAUAGAAAAAAUGGAUUAAAUUGAAUUUUGCCUCCCCAAAGAUUACCACUAUGAUGUCUUUCUAUUGAUUAAUCCACAACAAGAGCCAAGGGUUGACUGCAUUCAAGAGACUAAAUUACAGACAGUCCCCAACAACUGAAAAGGAAAAGGCUACGUCCCAAAGUUGAUGACUCCACUACCUGAAGCUCAGAAUGCUUUUUCGCAGAGCACCAUAUUCCUCAGGGGCUCUGAGGCAGCCCCGAGGGGCCAACUGGUGACCUAGUGACACUGGAAAUAUAUUUAGCAUCCUAACUCCUUUAAUGAAUCCCCUCUGAAUCCUAAAGCCUUAUCCUCCAGCCCCUAAAUCUCUCUGAGCCCUAAAUCUAAGGGUUUUUUUUAGUUGAGGUAAAAUCACAUAAGGUUAACCAUUGUGAGUUGAGUGUGCAUGUCAGUGACAUCUAGAACAUUCACGAGGCUGUGCGAUCACCCGCCUCUAUCAACUGUCUCAACAUUUUCAUCGCCCCUGAGAGAAACCCCUUUGGGACCCUCAGCAGCCACUGCCCGUUGUCCCCUCCCCCCAGCCCCUGGCGAACGCAGAUCGACUCACUAGAGCUAUGGGUUCCCCUGUUCUGGACAUUCCAUGUCAACGGAAUCAUGCAACAUGUGGUCUUUUGUGUCUGGCUUCUUUCACUGACAUAAUCUAUUUAAGGUUCAUCCGUGUGAUUGCAUGUGUGAGGACGUCCUUCCCUUUUAUUGCCAAAUGACUCUCCGUGGUCUGGACGGACCACACGUUCUUGACCCACCUGUCAGCUGAUGGACGCUUGGGUUGUCUCUAUCUCGCGGCCACGUGCAACCGUCACCCCUAAGGUUGCACCCUGACAUGCCCUGCCCUCGGAGGAAAUGGGAAGUGGAGGGGGAAGGGUGGACAGGAGCUUGGGAAGCAGGGGGGGCCCCUGUGGCAGAGCGUGGGGAGGCUCCUCCCGUGCGCCGGGCCGCGGCACUCCCAGGCGCUGGCAUCUGGGGCGGGCAGCGUCCCUCCCACAGGGCUGCCGUCGGCAGGGACAUUCCACUAGAAGCAUCGACAGUGAGGGAUAAUUCGAGACAGCGUCAACCAUGGUGGAGAACACAGGGAGACAUGGAACCCGUCAGAGAGGGGCACGAGGGAGGCCGGAGGAGGCCCGCUGGGGGCAGGUACCUCCUUCAGAUUCGGGUGUCGCUGUUUCCCAAGACGGAGAGCAGAACUGGACUGACCCAGCGAGAAAUCUGGCAAGUGUCGUUGGCCUGUUCUCCACUUUUCUGAAAACACAGGCGCCAGGAGAGGUUUCCAUAGCAGCUUCCAAAUUGGACACAAAACUUCACUCAGCAGGACAUUGAUAGUUUUCCAUUUCUCCUUUUCCAUGUUCCGUCACUUUUCUUGGCGUUCUGCAGUUGGCGUCCUGUGACUUGGCGUCCUGUACCUUGUAAAAGGUACAGAUGGCGGCCGCCAUGCUUGCGGGCGCUGAAGGACCCGGUCAAGGUAAGGACGGCCCCUGCUGGGUCUGCUCAGUCCCAGCCAGGCUGCAGGAGGAGUCGGGGGGCAGCGAAGGGGUGCCCCCAGAUGUGUGCCUGCCUUUCUCGUGCAGUGAGUCAAGUGCUGUAGAUGCCAGGGGCCCCAGCUUCCUCAUGACAGUGGCCAGGCCGGUGGGGGAGCCCCUGGUGUCCCCUCCAUUUUCUUAGUGACACAGUGGGCAAGACCUGUCCCUCUGCCACUGCAGGGACGCCUGUGUUUCUCAAGUGCACAGGGCUGAGUUCCAACUCACUGCCUCCCGGAGCCUCCAGGGUCCCAGACCCCCUUCCGGUCUUACGCGCAGGUCGUCCCUGGUUCGCCCUCUGUCAGGACUGGGCAGGACAGUGCGGCGGGACACUUGGGACAAAUAGUUAGCAGGCCGAUCCUGGAGGGCCUGGCUCCUGCCCUCCUCAGUUACCUGCCUUGCCGUUGGCCCACGCGGACCCUGAGCCAACCGGCCCCUUUCUGAAGCCCAAACCAGGUCCUGGGAGCCGUGGACAAGUCUGUCCCCUGGACAGACUGCAGACCCAAGCUCUGCUUCUGGGCGGCCCCAAACGGCCGUAGUCAUCCUUUGUUUCUGCUUCUUCGCCCACCUUGCUGAAUGUCCGUCAGUCUCCAGAGAAGUCUCCGUGCCUUCCCCAGUUCCACCAUCCUGCCCAAUGACACGUCUGCAGGUGACACGCUGGCACGUUGUUAACAGGAACAGAGUUGACACCAACUUUUACUCUCCUCUCUCCUCCUCCGAAUCACCUGCCUUUCUCUCCCGGCCUUGAGGGGCGGUGCACCCCUCUACUGCUGAGGUCAGUCUGUCCUGGGUCCUUUCACCAUCAUCGUCAUCUAUGGUCAGGUCAUUUCCCACCCACUCAGUUUUUAUUCUUCUCUUGGUCGACACGCGUGUCCACAUUCUUCCAGCUGGAAAACCGGCCACAAGGACCGGGGAGGGCGUCCCAAAGCCCCUGAGCGCCCGGCGCCUCCUUACCCUGCGAUCCGGCUUCGGAGACCACACUACCGCGUGAACCGUGUGGCGGACGGACGGCAGGUUCUAAGGAGGAGGUUCACGCAGGAAGUGUGCGUGGGUGCGCGGGACGCCCCUCAGAACACACGCGCGUGCACCCCGAAGAUGACACCCAGGCCGCUGACCCAGGAGCAGCUUCUACUGCCUUCCUUGUGCCCUCGUCCGUUUCCCGUACUUUCCCCGAGCAACACGUGAACACACGGCGACUUUUAGAGAGCACUGAGCUAAGAGCUGUAGUGCGUUGGCUCAUUUAACUUUUCCAGCUGCUCUGAGGAUUGUCCCCUUAGGACCCCUGUCUUAUAGACAAGGGAGCUGAUGCCUUGAGCGCCCGAGAGGCCUCCGGAGCCGACCGGCCCCCCCAGUGCUCUCACACCUGUGGCUGUGAAGCGGGAGCGGGUCCCCAUGGCCAGGGCUGGCGGGACGUACACCCGGAAGAAUUGAAGGAGACGGGAUGGGCGGCAGCAGAAGGUGGGCGAAGAGCCCUGAGCAGGGAGAGCCCUCACACGGACCCAUCACUGGAAGUGGGCGGCGUCUAGGGGGCCUUCGUAAGCUUGCGGGGCAGGUCCCUCCAGGCGAGGCGACUCUGGGAGGCGUCCUCAGCUGUAGGCUGUCACCACCCUGGAGGGGUGAGGGGUGAGGGGCUUCAGUUCCGAGGGGGAUCUGGAUGGCCCGCUGUGCGCCCACGACAAACACCCACGGACUCUCGAGGGCACAUUCAAAUCUCACUUCCCCCAGGGAGCGUUCCUCGAUUACCCUGAUCAGGAUGGGCCCUAACGACCCCACAAAAAUACCUUGUGCCCGCUGGGUGAUUACCUUCUCCCUUCCCCCCGUCGGGCCCUGGUGAUCUCCAAUCUGUCUUCUCUCCUGGACAUCGCCUACAAGAAGAACCACGGUACGUGUCCUUCUGUGCCUGGCCUCUUUCACUGGGCAGAGUUUGUCAAGGUUUGUUAGCAUUGCAUUUUUGGGUCUCCCCCCAAAUUUAUGUGUUGAACCCUUAACCCCCGGUGUGAUGGUAUGAGGAGGUGGGGCACUGGGAGGUGAUUGGGUCAUGAGGGGGAUCGGUGCCCUCAUAAACCACGGGGAGCCAUGGGAUUUCUGUCCGCCUGGGGAGCACACCGCGAGGAGGCAUCAUCUACAGGCCAGGAAGAUGGUCUUCACCAGAUCCGGGCUCUGCCGGCACGUCCCUAUCAGACUUCCAGCCCCCAGAACUGUGACAGAUACGUGUCUGUUUGUUCAAGCUGCCGUGCCUGGGAUACUGUGCUAGGGACGCCUGAGUAGAUUAAGCAGGUACAUCCCGGGAAGCGGUUCGGGACCUGGGAGCAGCUACAGAUGCACAGCUACCUUCAGUAGCAAGAGUGAUGGUUAUCGUAUAAAAUUCAUCAUCCAGGAGCACCUGGGUGGCUCCCUCAGUUGAGCGUCCGACUCUUGGUUUUGGCUCAGGCUAGGAUCUCGAGGUCCGUGGGUUCGAGCCCUGCGUCGGGCUCUGUGCCGACAGCUCAGAGCCUGGAGCCUGCUUCGGAUUCUGCGCCUCCCUCUCUCUCUGUCCCUCCCCCGCUCACACUCUGUGUCUCUCUCUCUCUCUCUCUCUCAAAAAUAAAUAAACAUUAAAAAAAUAAAACAAAAUUCUUAAUCUGUACCUCGGCCAUCAAAAGGACAAAGCCCAGAUGAUACGCUGCAUAAAAUAAUCACCACCCUUGUUGCUGAAGAGAAUUGUAUGUUCACACCUGCUCCCUGGCCCCACACUGUGCCCUUGGCUGUCAGAUCCUUGGCUCUUGGGAUCUCUCACCUUGGCUCUUGAGAUCAUCUCUCCUUGGCUCUUGGGAUCUCUCUUGGGAUCCCAAUAUUUUAGGGAAAAUAUUGAAAAACAGGUAGCAGUAACCAUUUCAAUAUUUUAGUGUAUGUAUUUCUUUUAUUUCAAUUGUUUGUUAAGUUUCAAGCGUGCAAUAUAGUGGUUCCACAGUGUUUCUCAGUGCCAGUCACGAUAGGGGUAUGCUUAGUCCCCAUCACCCAUUUCACUCACCAUAUGUCUUAUUUUUAAGGAAAUAUAUACAUCCACAUGAUUUGUCAUAAAGUUCAGCUCCCACACAUCCUGAGGAGUUUUAUAGCAUCCGAACUCUUUUCGAUACUCAUGGGAUAAAGCCAUCGUCAGCUCGGUCUUAUUGUCAAAUAUCCUUUCUUUCUCUACUACAGGAAAUGUGUUUCUUUAUAAAAGGUCAGUUGAGGAAAACUCUCACUUAUUCUCGUCCUUCUGAUGAAAUUUUCCAGUUCAGAGUCCGCUGCACCCGCACCAGAAUGCCGUAUGCUUAUUAGCUCAUCGAGUACCUUGAGGCUAUGAUUAGGCACCUGCACCCCGUUUCUUAAAACCUCUGCCUUCAAAAGUUACAGGCAGAAGACAGAGGACCUGCUUCUGUGGCUGAGCUAUGUGACUCACUGUGCCCCUGGGCCUUGAGAGAAUCUGCACCCAUGAAUCGGGGAUGCGGUUGGUGUUUCUAGAAGGUCACAGGACAUGGUUGUUCUUCAAGAUUUGGGAGCGGGGGCAGGAAUCACUCUGAGUCUCGUGGGGGGUCCUGGCUCUUCUGACCACUUGUGCUGGGGGGUGCUGGCCCGUGGGGCAACCGGCUGAAACCACAGCAGCCUGGAGACCGAGGUCCAAGCAGGGGGACAGCAGAGGCUGUCCGAGGAGGAAGGGCCUCCCGUGUGCUUCUAGACCUGGCUGUCGUGGGGCGAGGGCCACGACGUCAGGCCUGUAGCAGGCCAGCUGGCAGAGGUCCCCAGCUGCCACCCGAGUCUUACCUCGUUCUGGUCUGGGGGACACUGCUUGUCGUGUCCUGACGUGUUUGGAUCUGUUAAGAGGGAACCUUUUUUCUCACAAGACACAAGAACAAAGCGUGGGAUUAGUUUUACGUGAACUUGGAUGUUCCCAUUUAGCUGAUAGGAAAAGCACGGCGUAGCGGCUAGAAACAGUGCUGGCUCGCCCGCUCGGCACCUGUUAGUAGCCCUGCUGGGCCUCAGUCUCUCCAUCUGAACACAGGGACGACGAGGGUGCCGAGGCACCCAGGUCCACGAGCCUGGUGUGAGGCUUAAGCCAGAUAAUGUUUUUAAGGCACUCGGGACAAUGCCCAGCACAACGUAAG